Molecule: long non-coding RNA, 1226 nt
Filed under: Zea mays
Lineage: Eukaryota; Viridiplantae; Streptophyta; Magnoliopsida; Poales; Poaceae
Description: long non-coding RNA (ZMAY_LNC003738)
Source: RNAcentral
UUGUGGUUAAAGAAGAAGUUGUCACUCAAGCUGAGAACCUCCAGCCGAGAAUAACUUCUACUUCGACAUCUGUGGAGUAGACCCGGAACCUCCUGCAACACAAGGCAAGCACCGGUGCAUUAUCCCCUUUCCUUGAUGUUUUAAAAAAAACUGAUAAGAUGCAUUAGGUGGUAGGAGUUGUGUGCUAAAAAAAUUGAUGCAUUCCCUUCCUUGCAACUGAUUAUCAUUCCUUGUUACCUGAUUUAAUUAAAGUUUUCUGAUGCUUAGCUUUGCUCUAGAAAACAAAAUGUUUUGUUUCAAACAAAAGGUGAUGCUUCAUAUGGGAUGGGGAUUUUACAAAGAAAAGACUUGUGAUGGUGAAUCCAUCAUGGCCGUGAUGGGUUCAACAUCUGAAAAGAUGUACCUCUCGCUGGUACCAAACUUUGGUUUGUAAAUGAUAAAGAUGAGAUCGGGCGGGUGACUUGCACGAGAAGGAAGUCUUGGUGUAGUGUCUCCGUCUGAGUCGCUUACGGACCGAACCGAUGUAGGCUUGAUGAUCGAGGGCCUUUUAACUAGCGACAUGCCUCGUCAUGGGUAAGCUUUGCCUCGGUCGAACCAAUACCAGAAAGGGCACCACACAAUGGGAGUGGAGAGAUGGCGAGAGUAGCGUGUACCUUCCGUGGCAAGAGGCUGGACGGUGGUGUAUCUGUGCUCUCGGUUGGCAUGAAUCCAUUCUGGUCUUGAGAAACCCAGUGGCGAGUUGACAUAUGCAAGGGUUAAGUGCUACAUAUGUCGUAUGGUUGGAGAUCCCUAGCUGGGUAUUAAUCGAUUCGGAUUGCCGUUACCUCUCGGACAUGAAGACUUGGGCACGGCCCUACACGUAGCAAUCAAAUGAACCGAAGUAAUGUUAAAAGACGGGUAGCAUAGGCCAAGUGCCUGAUCUAGGCUAGAAAGAACUCUAGAUGCAGGUAUACUUAACCUGAUAAUAAAAAUGGAUUUUUAAGGAUCCACUCAAAGUAAGCUAGCAUAUCCUUGAGAGUCUUUUUCCUUUGACGGGUAAGACUUGAGAAAGUACACUACGUACUCAGGGUUUUUGAACCCAUGUUGUUGCAGGUGAUGAAAGAGCUGAGUUCUGCUGUUUCUGCUCCAAGGUGGUGCCCAAGUAGGAGGAAGAACACUAAACUUAUUUGGGGAGAAUGUUUUGCCUCCCGGUAAUGUAAUAAUAAGUUUCACACUCGAACACCCGG